Molecule: ribosomal RNA, 292 nt
Filed under: uncultured bacterium
Lineage: Bacteria
Description: partial 16S ribosomal RNA
Rfam family: Bacterial small subunit ribosomal RNA
Source: RNAcentral
GUGCCAGCAGCCGCGGUAAUACGAACUGUGCAAACGUUAUUCGGAAUCACUGGGCUUACAGGGUGCGUAGGCGGUCUGUUAAGUAGGGUGUGAAAGCCCCCGGCUCAACCGGGGAAUUGCGCCCUAAACUGGCGGACUGGAGUGAGAUAGGGGUGUGCGGAACUUCCGGUGGAGCGGUGAAAUGUGUUGAUAUCGGAAGGAACGCCGGUGGCGAAAGCGGCACACUGGAUCUCAACUGACGCUGAGGCACGAAAGCCAGGGGAGCGAACGGGAUUAGAUACCCCAGUAGUCC